This 911-nucleotide ribosomal RNA is filed under the name uncultured organism. Its description in RNAcentral is "bacterial SSU rRNA". It matches the Rfam family "Bacterial small subunit ribosomal RNA", at positions 15 to 897 of the family's 1533-position model. The record is from RNAcentral.
GAUCCUGGCUCAGAAUGAACGCUGGCGGCGUGCUUAACACAUGCAAGUCGAACGAGAAAUCUUUAGCUCGCUAGAGAAAGUAAAGUGGCGCACGGGUGAGUAACGCGUGGGUAAUCUGCCUCCGAAUCGGGGAUAACAUUGCGAAAGCGAUGCUAAUACCGGAUAAAAUCUGGUUGGCUUCGGUGAACCGGAUCAAAGGUGGUCUCUUUAUAAAAGCUACCGUUUGGAGAUGAGCUCGCGUACCAUUAGCUAGUUGGUGAGGUAAAGGCUCACCAAGGCGACGAUGGUUAGCUGGUCUGAGAGGAUGAUCAGCCACACCGGAACUGGAACACGGUCCGGACUCCUACGGGAGGCAGCAGUGAGGAAUUUUGCGCAAUGGGGGAAACCCUGACGCAGCAACGCCGCGUGAGUGAUGAAGGCUUUCGGGUCGUAAAGCUCUGUCAGGUGGGAAGAACCCACCAAGUGUUAAGACCACUUGGUGCUGACGGUACCACCGAAGGAAGCACCGGCUAACUCCGUGCCAGCAGCCGCGGUAAUACGGGGGGUGCGAGCGUUAUUCGGAAUCAUUGGGCGUAAAGGGCGCGCAGGCGGUUUUGUAAGUCAGAUGUGAAAUCCCGGGGCUUAACCCCGGAAGUGCAUAUGAAACUAUGAGACUUGAGUAUGGGAGAGGGAAGCGGAAUUCCUGGUGUAGCGGUGAAAUGCGUAGAUCUCAGGAGGAACACCGGUGGCGAAGGCGGCUUCCUGGACCAAUACUGACACUGAGGCGCGAAGGCGUGGGGAGCGAACAGGAUUAGAUACCCUGGUAGUCCACGCAGUAAACGUUGAUCACUAGGUGUAGCGGGUAUUGACACCUGCUGUGCCGGAGUUAACGCAUUAAGUGAUCCGCCUGGGGAGUACGAUCGCAAGAUUAA